Molecule: ribosomal RNA, 460 nt
Filed under: uncultured bacterium
Lineage: Bacteria
Description: partial 16S ribosomal RNA
Rfam family: Bacterial small subunit ribosomal RNA
Source: RNAcentral
CCUACGGGAGGCAGCAGUGAGGAAUAUUGGUCAAUGGACGCAAGCCUGAACCAGCCAUGCCGCGUGCAGGAUGACGGCUCUAUGAGUUGUAAACUGCUUUUGUACGAGGGUAAACCCCGAUACGUGUAUCGGGUUGAAAGUAUCGUACGAAUAAGGAUCGGCUAACUCCGUGCCAGCAGCCGCGGUAAUACGGAGGAUCCGAGCGUUAUCCGGAUUUAUUGGGUUUAAAGGGUGCGUAGGCGGUUUGAUAAGUUAGAGGUGAAAUGUCGGGGCUCAACCCCGAAACUGCCGCUAAUACUGUUGGACUAGAGAAUAGUUGCGGUAGGCGGAAUGUAUGGUGUAGCGGUGAAAUGCUUAGAGAUCAUACAGAACACCGAUUGCGAAGGCAGCUUACCAAACUAUAUCUGACGUUGAGGCACGAAAGCGUGGGUAGCAAACAGGAUUAGAUACCCUUGUAGUC